UACGAAGGGGGCUAGCGUUGUUCGGAAUCACUGGGCGUAAAGGGCGCGUAGGCGGCCUGAUAAGUCGGGGGUGAAAGCCUGUGGCUCAGCCACAGAAUUGCCUUCGAUACUGUCGGGCUUGAGACCGGAAGAGGUAAGUGGAACUGCGAGUGUAGAGGUGAAGUUCGUAGAUAUUCGCAAGAACACCAGUGGCGAAGGCGGCUUACUGGUCCGGUUCUGACGCUGAGGCGCGAAAGCGUGGGGAGCAAACAGG
RNAcentral lists this ribosomal RNA (253 nucleotides) under uncultured bacterium. Its description in RNAcentral is "partial 16S ribosomal RNA". It matches the Rfam family "Bacterial small subunit ribosomal RNA", at positions 524 to 776 of the family's 1533-position model. The record is from RNAcentral.